RNAcentral lists this non-coding RNA (28 nucleotides) under Mus musculus (house mouse). The record is from RNAcentral. Lineage: Eukaryota; Metazoa; Chordata; Mammalia; Rodentia; Muridae.
UGGAUAGCAUUCUCACCCUACAUGAAAC